This 241-nucleotide ribosomal RNA is filed under the name uncultured Staphylococcus sp. Its description in RNAcentral is "partial 16S ribosomal RNA". It matches the Rfam family "Bacterial small subunit ribosomal RNA", at positions 99 to 334 of the family's 1533-position model. Lineage: Bacteria; Bacillati; Bacillota; Bacilli; Caryophanales; Staphylococcaceae. The record is from RNAcentral.
CGGACGGGUGAGUAACACGUUGAUAACCUACCUAUAAGACUGGGAUAACUUCGGGAAACCGGAGCUAAUACCGGAUAAUAUUUUGAACCGCAUGGUUCAAAAGUGAAAGACGGUCUUGCUGUCACUUAUAGAUGGAUCCGCGCUGCAUUAGCUAGUUGGUAAGGUAACGGCUUACCAAGGCAACGAUGCAUAGCCGACCUGAGGGGGUGAUCGGCCACACUGGAACUGAGACACGGUCCAG